RNAcentral lists this long non-coding RNA (327 nucleotides) under Brassica rapa (field mustard). Its description in RNAcentral is "long non-coding RNA (BRAP_LNC008632)". The record is from RNAcentral. Lineage: Eukaryota; Viridiplantae; Streptophyta; Magnoliopsida; Brassicales; Brassicaceae.
UCCUCAGGUUUUCAAUCACAUCACAACACACAACCAGAUCUUAUCACAAGCUCAUUAUCACUUAAGGUUUAAAGAAUCGCUUACUAUCAAGGAACCAGGUUGGUCCUUGUAUCACUCUUGGAUGGUAAGCUCAUGACUUUGAGGAUAUGUGAGUCUGGAUUAUUACCCAUCUCCUGCCUCCUUCAGUUCAUGGCUUCCUCCUUGUUUCUCUAACUCAAAGACCCCUUCCUUUCUCCUUCUCUUCUGGGUGCCAUCUUCUUGGCAGCUUGCUUGAUGAACCGGAUGGGAAAAGCUCUUGGACAAGGCACCUUGGAUGAGUUCGCGAGG